RNAcentral lists this unclassified non-coding RNA (345 nucleotides) under soil metagenome. RNAcentral's name for it is "partial contains 5.8S ribosomal RNA, internal transcribed spacer 2, and large subunit ribosomal RNA". The stretch from base 1 to 120 matches the Rfam family "5.8S ribosomal RNA", at positions 35 to 154 of the family's 154-position model. The record is from RNAcentral.
GAUGAAGAACGUAGCGAAAUGCGAUAAGUAAUGUGAAUUGCAGAAUUCAGUGAAUCAUCGAAUCUUUGAACGCACAUUGCGCCCGCCAGCAUUCUGGCGGGCAUGCCUGUUCGAGCGUCAUUUCAACCCUCGACUUCCCUUUGGGGAAAUCGGCGUUGGGGACUGGCAGCAUACCGCCGGCCCCGAAAUGGAGUGGCGGCCCGUCCGCGGCGACCUCUGCGUAGUAAUCCAACCUCGCACCGGAACCCCGACGUGGCCACGCCGUAAAACACCCCACUUUCUGAACGUUGACCUCGGAUCAGGUAGGAAUACCCGCUGAACUUAAGCAUAUCAAUAAGCGGAGGA